UUCUUUGCUGGGCAUGAUGUAGUGAAUUUGGGGGAUGAUUAUGAAGAUGUAGUUGAGGUGAAUGAGGGUCUGCCUGGAAAUGGUGGAGAUGAUUUGGCUGAUGUUCCGUUAAGGCAGGAAUCUGAAAAUGGUUUACAGAAUGCUAUACCACAUUCUGUUAAGAGGUGUCUGUUGGAAGAAGAUGUUUAGUUUGUUUGUUUUUACUGGGUGUAAGGUUUCAUGUGCUUAUUCUACUACUUUGUGUUGUUCUAAAUUACUCUAAAAUCUGUGCCUAGGAUAUCUGCAUUGUGCAGCUAUUUAACUAGGCUAUAUUGUAUCUGGACUGAUCCUAUGUUAUGCAUAUAUGAUAUAUUUUGCAAUUCAGUGGAAGUUUACCUCUCAGUUCAACUACUUUGCUUUUCUCUUCCCCACAUUGGCUCCUCAUUGUUGUAUGUCAUUAUUUGGUGUGUAGAGUUCCUCAAUUGCAUCGCAUUGUUGAAGUAGUCUACAUUGAAAAAGAAAAAAGAUUAAACUGAGAAAA
This is a long non-coding RNA of Ipomoea triloba (trilobed morning glory), 520 nucleotides long. RefSeq lists it as uncharacterized. NCBI's taxonomy places the organism in Eukaryota, Viridiplantae, Streptophyta, Magnoliopsida, Solanales, Convolvulaceae. The transcript has 2 exons. The record is from RefSeq and is a predicted model, not a curated record.